GACGAACGCUGGCGGCGUGCUUAACACAUGCAAGUCGAACGGAAAGGCCCUGCUUUUGUGGGGUGCUCGAGUGGCGAACGGGUGAGUAACACGUGAGUAACCUGCCCUUGACUUUGGGAUAACUUCAGGAAACUGGGGCUAAUACCGGAUACGAGCUCCUGCUGCAUGGUGGGGGUUGGAAAGUUUCGGCGGUUGGGGAUGGACUCGCGGCUUAUCAGCUUGUUGGUGGGGUAGUGGCUUACCAAGGCUUUGACGGGUAGCCGGCCUGAGAGGGUGACCGGCCACAUUGGGACUGAGAUACGGCCCAGACUCCUACGGGAGGCAGCAGUGGGGAAUAUUGCACAAUGGGCGGAAGCCUGAUGCAGCAACGCCGCGUGCGGGAUGACGGCAUUCGGGUUGUAAACCGCUUUCGCCUGUGACGAAGCGUGAGUGACGGUAAUGGGUAAAGAAGCACCGGCUAACUACGUG
This 468-nucleotide ribosomal RNA is filed under the name uncultured bacterium. RNAcentral's name for it is "partial 16S ribosomal RNA". It matches the Rfam family "Bacterial small subunit ribosomal RNA", at positions 28 to 507 of the family's 1533-position model. The record is from RNAcentral.